UGAUGACGUCGAUCCAACACCACAAAAAUUAUUAUCUUAUAAGAAAAUAAUUCCAUUAGGAAUUCGUAAACAAUCUAACCAUUUACUCCUGCAAAAUGCGAGAUAGAUGAGAUUUUCCCCAAUAAAGACUCUAUUCUAUGGACCUAGUAGGCUAAAGAGUAAUAUAAUUGUUUACUAACAAAAGACGCGUCAACGAAGCUCAAAACAUUUUUCACAUCUUCCAGCGUCCAACGUUCCCCUUGCCAACUACCACACCAUGAAAGAAAGAAACAUUCGGAACUGCACAAGCAAACUGUUGGGAGUGAUUUUUCUCUUCGUAGAAGUGUGAAAUCAGUACAGUGAUUAGACGACCGGGGACAAACAUGACUUAGAUUUUCUCUCCGUUGGCUAAAUAAAAAAAAAAGUUAAGUAUAUAUAUCAUUACGGAUUUUUCUGUUCAUAAGCCUUACAUGAAUGAGUUGUAUUGCCGUCAAGGAGUAUUCUUUCUUGUACAAGGUCAGAAAUUGGUUAAGAGACUAGUGUUGAGGUGGGGAGGACUCACCAACAAGCAUGCUUCCAAUUGAGGAAACUGGCUCCACACCUGUUGCUUCUCCAGUUGCCAAAACUGCAUUUCCAUUCUCAACAGCUUCCAGAUCAACAUCUACAUCACUGGAAGCCCCUGCAUUCUCAGUGCGGACUGGUCGGAGCAGACCCUGCAAUCUCAACAGAUUGCUCUGGCUUGAAGGUUGGGUUCUCACAUAUCUGGAGGUUGUUACAACAGUUGCAGGGGGCCGUUCAGAGUCAGUACGAAGAUUGGAUAAGGCGCUAAGAUCAAGGUUUGGGAAAACUGAGCAACGGCACCGUGGACAUUUCACAUUCAGACGAAGCCACUCGUCAAUGCAUUCUACAUGGAAAUUAUGUGCACAAGGCAGGCCACGGACCUCAUUCCCUACAUGGAACUCUUCUAGGCAGAUGGGACAUUCACUGCAGUCAGUUGGAACAGCCUUUAACCGGAACUUUGGAAGUUCCUGAAUGAGUGCCUCCACUGCUUCUCUCUGAGUAGGAGUCAGGUAAAGUCCAGGAUGGUAUGCCGCGACAUCUUGUCCCAUGCCCCUCAUUUCUUGACCAGCAGCUUCAAAUGCCCAAUCUGGUACUCGGAUCAUGUCAACCAAAACCGCAUAUUCUGAAAUAGGAAUUCCUUGUUGAGCACGUAAUAGGUGCGCUUGUCUUCGUGUAAGCCACUAUGAAAGAACUCAAAAACAAGGGUAAGAAAGGGCAUGAGCUGUAAGAAAGCAUCAAGAAGCUAUAUUUUCCGGAUAGGCAGGGUGAAAAUACAUAUGCAAAGAUAAGGAAAAAGAUAGAAAAGAGAUCUAAUGAGCUCUCCCUUAUUUCAUAGUUCAAGAUCAAGCUUAAGUCUAAUGACUGGUGUGGUGCUGGACAAGAAGCAGAAGGUGCUAUGCUAACCUUUCCCAUGGACAUGCAAGCAAUACAAAGGAGUCCACAGUAGCUGAAAAGCAACCAAAUAAUAAAACCCCAUUUCCGACCUUCUUCUGGCAACUGCAAGAAGUUAAACAUAUCAUCUCCUCUGUAAGCAUGUUCUCAAUGAUCACUCUGAAAAAGAAAAAAGGAAAAAAUGUUCUCACUGACGACAAUGCUCUCAAAAAAUGAGGAAUCAGCGAAGAACUUACACAAUUUCUUGCAGUCAUGAACCAGAGUGUACCAAUUAUAGUCCAAGCCCAAAGAAAAGGAUAGAGUAGCAAAGAAAGAAUUGAAAGGACCACUAUUCUUCCACAAAAACGAGCGUACCGCUGCUGCCAUCCAAAAUCCAAACCCAUUCCAGCAGCAAGUCCAUUAUCUAUGAACAUCAAGAAGCGAAAAACAAAAACAGUAGUAUAAUCA
RNAcentral lists this unclassified non-coding RNA (1878 nucleotides) under Hevea brasiliensis (rubber tree). Lineage: Eukaryota; Viridiplantae; Streptophyta; Magnoliopsida; Malpighiales; Euphorbiaceae. The record is from RNAcentral.